RNAcentral lists this ribosomal RNA (253 nucleotides) under uncultured bacterium. RNAcentral describes it as "partial 16S ribosomal RNA". It matches the Rfam family "Bacterial small subunit ribosomal RNA", at positions 524 to 776 of the family's 1533-position model. The record is from RNAcentral.
GACGAACCGUCCAAACGUUAUUCGGAAUUACUGGGCUUAAAGGGUGCGUAGGCGGUGCGGAAAGUUGGGUGUGAAAUCCCUCGGCCCAACCGAGGAACUGCGCCCGAGACUGCUUCUCUUGAGUCCCGGAGAGGAAGGUGGAAUUCCCGGUGUAGCGGUGAAAUGUGUAGAGAUCGGGAGGAACACCGGUGGCGAAGGCGGCCUUCUGGACGGUGACUGACGCUGAGGCGCGAAAGCGUGGGGAGCAAACGGG